UAUAUGUGGAAAAAAUGCUAAGCCAAAACAUAUUGUGAAAUGUGUUCUGGCUCUAGAAAAGCCUUGUUAUUGCAAAUCAAGGAAGGAACAAAUCAGAAUAUGUCAUGAUAAUUUUACUAGACUGUUCUCUCGAAAAAUUCACUAAUAUGAUUGAUAAUUAAAAUGAAGAAAAAUGCCACUUUUAUCACCCGUAUCCCGGAUUUUGAGACCACGAGAGCAUAGAUGAUAUGGAGUGAAGGCAUCUGGUAUGGAUGUGAAGGCAGUGAGGGUAAUUUUCUGAACAAAGCUACUGCAGGGCUCUUUCCUUCAUUACAUGCUUCCUUUUACCAGGAACAUGGACCGUCGUAAUGUCACCUUUUUAAUCUAUGAAAGUUACGUCGAAUUCAAGUUCUUUUUCUUCUUCUUGAGACAAUCACUUCAUUAGUUUCUCAACUUUGUUAUUGUCAGGCCUGCAUUUGAAUACAUUAAAUGCUGAAAUGCUGAAAUGUGGAUUGGAUUUUCCUUGUGGAUUGGUAAACAAAGGAUUUGCAGCAGAUGAGCUCCUCCUGUGCUGAUAUCAUGAGCAAUGUCAGCCCUGCAGAAAUAAGAGAAUUUGAAGGGCACAGCAUAUGCAAACAGAUUAUAUGACCGAAAGCAGGCCUAGCCAACAGAUCUUCUAUGAAGUCGAAAAACUUGAAUGCUGAUAUUUGGACUGGAUUUCCCUCGCAAUCAAAGCAGGGACUUACGCUGAAAUGCUGAUAGACCAGGUCCGCCAUAUCCCGCAUAAUCAAAGGAUUUGCAA
Long non-coding RNA from Daucus carota subsp. sativus, 781 nucleotides. RefSeq lists it as uncharacterized. NCBI's taxonomy places the organism in Eukaryota, Viridiplantae, Streptophyta, Magnoliopsida, Apiales, Apiaceae. The record is from RefSeq and is a predicted model, not a curated record. The transcript is spliced from 3 exons.